Molecule: ribosomal RNA, 403 nt
Filed under: uncultured Longilinea sp.
Lineage: Bacteria; Bacillati; Chloroflexota; Anaerolineae; Anaerolineales; Anaerolineaceae
Description: partial 16S ribosomal RNA
Rfam family: Bacterial small subunit ribosomal RNA
Source: RNAcentral
UAGGGAAUAUUGCUUAAUGUGCGAAAGCGCGAAGCAGCAACGCCGCGUGUGCGAUGAAGGCCUUCGGGUCGUAAAGCACUUUUUAGAGGGAUGAGAAAGGACAGUACCUCUAGAAUAAGCCUCGGCUAACUACGUGCCAGCAGCCGCGGUAAAACGUAGGAGGCGAGCGUUAUCCGGAAUUACUGGGCGUAAAGCGCGUGCAGGCGGUUCGGUUAGUUGGAUGUGAAAGCUCCUGGCUUAACUGGGAGAGGUCGUUCAAUACUGCCGGACUUGAGAGUGGUAGAGGGAGAUGGAAUUCCGCAUGUAGUGGUGAAAUGCGUAGAUAUGCGGAGGAACACCAGUGGCGAAAGCGGUCUCCUGGCCCACUUCUGACGCUCAGACGCGAAAGCUAGGGUAGCAAACG